CGUAAAAAGUUCUAAAAGCAUAAAGGUUUGGUCCUAGCCUUAUUAUCAAUUAUCUCCCAACUUACACAUGCAAGUCUCAGCACCCCCGUGAGGAAGCCCUUAAACCCUUCUCCAGGGUAAGGAGCCGGUAUCAGGCACUACUUUUGCCCAUAACACCUAGUUUCCACCACACCCCCAAGGGUCAUCAGCAGUGAUAAACAUUAUCUAUAAGCGAUAGCUUGACUUAAUUAGAGAGAAGAUAGUUGGCUAAUUCGGUGCCAGCCGCCGCGGUUAGACCCCUGAACUAAAAUUGAUAAUCAUCGGCGUUAAGCGUGAUUAAAGCAAUAUAAAAUUAGAGUAAAACUCCCUGCCCAGCCGUGAAAAGCAUGCACUCCGGAACUCCAUGAACGAAAGUCACUCUACUCAAUGCUUGAAUACACGACAGCUAUGAAUACAAACUACGAUUU
RNAcentral lists this ribosomal RNA (446 nucleotides) under Fejervarya sp. hpA. Its description in RNAcentral is "partial 12S rRNA". The record is from RNAcentral. Lineage: Eukaryota; Metazoa; Chordata; Amphibia; Anura; Dicroglossidae.